CCUACGGGAGGCAGCAGUGGGGAAUAUUGCACAAUGGGGGAAACCCUGAUGCAGCGACGCCGCGUGAGUGAAGAAGUAAUUCGUUAUGUAAAGCUCUAUCAGCAGGGAAGAAAAUGACGGUACCCGAGCAAGAAGCCCCGGCUAACUACGUGCCAGCAGCCGCGGUAAUACGUAGGGGGCAAGCGUUAUCCGGAUUUACUGGGUGUUAAGGGAGCGUAGACGGCAGUGCAAGUCUGGAGUGAAAGGCGGGGGCCCAACCCCCGGACUGCUCUGGAAACUGGACGGCUGGAGUGCAGGAGAGGUAAGUGGAAUUCCUAGUGUAGCGGUGAAAUGCGUAGAUAUUAGGAGGAACACCAGUGGCGAAGGCGGCUUACUGGACUGUAACUGACGUUGAGGCUCGAAAGCGUGGGGAGCAAACAGGAUUAGAUACCCGUGUAGUC
Molecule: ribosomal RNA, 440 nt
Filed under: uncultured bacterium
Lineage: Bacteria
Description: partial 16S ribosomal RNA
Rfam family: Bacterial small subunit ribosomal RNA
Source: RNAcentral